GACGAACGCUGGCGGCGUGCUUAACACAUGCAAGUCGAACGGUGAAGCGCCUUCCUUUUUGGUGGGUGUGGAUGAGUGGCGAACGGGUGAGUAACACGUGAGUAACUUGCCCCCUUCUUCUGGAUAACCGCAUGAAAGUGUGGCUAAUACGGGAUAUUCUGGGUCUGUCGCAUGAUGGGUCUGGGAAAGAUAUUGUUUCGGUGGGGGAUGGGCUCGCGGCCUAUCAGCUUGUUGGUGGGGUGAUGGCCUACCAAGGCGGUGACGGGUAGCCGGCCUGAGAGGGUGGACGGUCACACUGGGACUGAGACACGGCCCAGACUCCUACGGGAGGCAGCAGUGGGGAAUAUUGCACAAUGGGCGCAAGCCUGAUGCAGCGACGCCGCGUGAGGGAUGGAGGCCUUCGGGUUGUGAACCUCUUUCGCCAGUGAAGCAGGCCUGCCUCGUUUGUGGGUGGGUUGACGGUAGCUGGAUAAGAAGCGCCGGCUAACUACGUG
RNAcentral lists this ribosomal RNA (494 nucleotides) under uncultured bacterium. RNAcentral's name for it is "partial 16S ribosomal RNA". It matches the Rfam family "Bacterial small subunit ribosomal RNA", at positions 28 to 507 of the family's 1533-position model. The record is from RNAcentral.